RNAcentral lists this ribosomal RNA (470 nucleotides) under uncultured bacterium. RNAcentral's name for it is "bacterial SSU rRNA". It matches the Rfam family "Bacterial small subunit ribosomal RNA", at positions 34 to 518 of the family's 1533-position model. The record is from RNAcentral.
CGCUGGCGGCACGCUUAACACAUGCAAGUCGAACGGAGAAUAUUGAGUUACUAGAUAUCGUAGUGGCGGACGGGUGAGUAACACGUGAGCAACCUACCUAGAGAGAGGGAUAGCUUCUGGAAACGGAUGGUAAUACCUCAUAACAUAACUGAACCGCAUGAUUUAGUUAUCAAAGAUUUAUCACUCUGAGAUGGGCUCGCGUCUGAUUAGAUAGUUGGUGAGGUAACGGCUCACCAAGUCGACGAUCAGUAGCCGGACUGAGAGGUUGAACGGCCACAUUGGGACUGAGACACGGCCCAGACUCCUACGGGAGGCAGCAGUGGGGAAUAUUGCACAAUGGGGGGAAAAACCCCUGAUGCAACGAUGCCGCGUGGAGGAAGAAGGUUUUCGGAUUGUAAACUCCUGUCUUAAAGGACGAUAAUGACGGUACUUUAGGAGGAAGCUCCGGCUAACUACGUGCCAGCAGCGGC